CUGCACUGAAACGAGCUGAAAAAGUAGAUUCUUUGAAUUUCAGAAUGCAAGGAGUUGACCCCAGAGAUAAAAGAGUCGACUCUGGCACAUUGGAAUAGCACUAGCGUGGAGGCCAGUCAACUCCUAUGGUAGACGAGCCGACUCGGUCUCAAAAGAUAAAGAACCAUUUUUUCGAUCCUGUGGGCGAGCUGACUUGUCAGGACUUCAAGUUGACUUGCGGGUGAUUGGGGUCGACCCCAAUGGAAAUGAAGUCGACUCCAAGCACGGGACAGGCUAUAAUGGCUAGUAUUUUCUGUACUUCUUCAAUGAUCAUUUUUUCAUCCUAAUGGCUAGUUCAAGCCCUCCAACAGUCCAAACUUCUUCUCCAGCCAUUGUCAAGCCUAUUAAAAAGUAAAAAAUCAAUUGGAAAGAAGCUAAGAGUAUUUGAAAGAGAAAUCAUUAUUUCUUAGAG
This 451-nucleotide long non-coding RNA is filed under the name Elaeis guineensis (African oil palm). RNAcentral's name for it is "long non-coding RNA (EGUI_LNC022915)". Lineage: Eukaryota; Viridiplantae; Streptophyta; Magnoliopsida; Arecales; Arecaceae. The record is from RNAcentral.